GAUGCUUAAAGGAUGUAGGCUGAAAUAGAAGAAUUUACACAAAUGUGAUUUAUGCUUCUUGCAAGCUGCCUUUAUAAGAAUUCUGAGCUUUCAUAUUUGCAGAUCUCAGGUUAGUGGGUUUUACAGGCUAUUCAGCUAAUUCAGCCCCAUCUUUCAAACAUCUGUUGCCUCUGAAAAGUUCUCAGUGUAAAGAGGAAACUGUUAUUUAUAAGAAGAAGCUGUCAAAGAUCAGCUAUGUUCAACAAUCUAAAGCAUCGCUUACGUACAUCAGCACUAAACUAUGCUCAUUUGGAUAGCAUGAAUGGCUAAUUUUAGCUUAAAAUUGGAAACAAUUAUGGGUUCAGGAAGAAAAGUAGGGCUGUGUGUCAUUAGUAAUUGAUUUCUUUUGUGGAAAAGCUUGAAAUGAGCAGUUAAGAAAAAAAUACCAACACAACAUUAAGUGAUGCAACCUGUCUUGUGCAAUAUGCAGAUGUUUCUCAGAUUUGUGUCUGUCUCAGGUGGAUGGAUACUUCUGGUGUCAUUCCCUCUCUUCCCUCUGCCUCUCUAUAAUACUUUCUGCAUCUUUCAGCUGCUGCUGUAGAAGUCUCAACUGGGAACAUUGUGCAACUCAUGUGCACAAGAGGAGAGUGGUAUGCCAUGGCAUAGGAAGCUGCGAAUCACUUGUUUUUGCAUUUCCUCCAGAUCCAUCUACCUGGCUUCUGCAGUGCUGAUGUGGUGGCGUGUGCUUGGGCAUCUGUUUGGAGUGAACCCAACUGCUCCUCGUGAGAAGCUGGGGGACAGAGGAACUGCAUGAUCAAGAAUUAGAUGUCCUUUCCUGAAUUGAAUACUGACAACAGGGUAAGUUGCUCAUUUGAAAUGAUUUCUUCCUGCUAGUGGAGAUGACAAAAUGCGUGGUACUUGUCCAGGAAAAAAAAUAUUUGAUUUUUCAGAGGUAAUGUAGAGUCCUG
Molecule: long non-coding RNA, 947 nt
Filed under: Calidris pugnax (ruff)
Lineage: Eukaryota; Metazoa; Chordata; Aves; Charadriiformes; Scolopacidae
Description: lncRNA (ENSCPUG00000005177.1)
Source: RNAcentral